Dermacentor silvarum is the source of this 651-nucleotide long non-coding RNA. RefSeq lists it as uncharacterized. The transcript has 3 exons. NCBI's taxonomy places the organism in Eukaryota, Metazoa, Arthropoda, Arachnida, Ixodida, Ixodidae. The record is from RefSeq and is a predicted model, not a curated record.
UCCACUGGCCCAACACAAGCAUGCACGUUGCGCGGGAGCGGCCGCAUACAAGACGCCGCCGCCAAGAAUUCGCGGUGAGAACGUCGUCGACCGCAUUACCGCCAACCCACGAAGGACUGCGACCUCAAGGCCUUGCUCCUUCAGCUGUAGCGCGACGUGAGCCCUGCCAUUUCACUUUCAAGAUACGUAAGCUGCUUCGACCCUGAAAAUGCCGACGCAAUGGUGCAUCUGAAUAGCCAAUGGAUACCAUGCACACUCUGUAACGACCAGUGCUUUUAAUGAAACAGCACAGCGGAAUAAAGUCAACCACAUGAGGCACCUCAGACAGCAUAUGCAGUGGGUUGUGAUGGAUUUAAUGAUUUCAUCAGCAUUUUCACUGGAUGCAAGGCUGUGAAUCUUUUGUAUGAAGCAUGUGUGGAAAAGAAACCCAACAUCCGGUGCACAUGCUUGCUUGAAACAGUCGGGCAUAUCCCAUUAGUUGAGUGUCCCUGUGUCGGCAUUUGCUGAUGUGAUCCCAGCUAUCUUAACCCAUUACAUUCUGAUGAAUUUACUGCAGCCACCCUUUGGAAAAAUAGCACAUGGCAAUUAUUUCCAGGUAAUUAGUUCUCCCAUACAGAAAAAAUACCAUUAGCAGUACUCGUGGACGAUAAU